CAGCAGCCGCGGGAAUACGUAGGUGGCAAGCGUUGUCCGGAAUUAUUGGGCGUAAAGGCUCGCAGGCGGUUUCUUAAGUCUGAUGUGAAAGCCCCCGGCUCAACCGGGGAGGGUCAUUGGAAACUGGGAAACUUGAGUGCAGAAGAGGAGAGUGGAAUUCCACGUGUAGCGGUGAAAUGCGUAGAGAUGUGGAGGAACACCAGUGGCGAAGGCGACUCUCUGGUCUGUAACUGACGCUGGGGAGCGAAAGCGUGGGGAGCGAACAGGAUUAGAUACCCCUGUAGUCCCUGUCUCUUAUACC
This 301-nucleotide ribosomal RNA is filed under the name uncultured bacterium. Its description in RNAcentral is "partial 16S ribosomal RNA". It matches the Rfam family "Bacterial small subunit ribosomal RNA", at positions 509 to 808 of the family's 1533-position model. The record is from RNAcentral.